Molecule: ribosomal RNA, 253 nt
Filed under: uncultured bacterium
Lineage: Bacteria
Description: partial 16S ribosomal RNA
Rfam family: Bacterial small subunit ribosomal RNA
Source: RNAcentral
UACAGAGGGGGCAAGCGUUAUUCGGAAUUAUUGGGCGUAAAGGGCGCGUAGGCGGUGCGGUAAGUCUGCGGUGAAAUCUCCCGGCUCAACUGGGAGGCUGCCGUGGAAACUGCCGUGCUUGAGUGUGGGAGAGGUGAGUGGAAUUCCUGGUGUAGCGGUGAAAUGCGCAGAUAUCAGGAGGAACACCGAUGGCGAAGGCAGGUCUCUGGGCAUUAACUGACGCUGAGGAGCGAAAGCAUGGGGAGCGAACAGG